Molecule: ribosomal RNA, 253 nt
Filed under: uncultured bacterium
Lineage: Bacteria
Description: partial 16S ribosomal RNA
Rfam family: Bacterial small subunit ribosomal RNA
Source: RNAcentral
UACGAAGGGGGCUAGCGUUGCUCGGAAUCACUGGGCGUAAAGCGCACGUAGGCGGUUUUUUAAGUCAGAGGUGAAAGCCCGGAGCUCAACUCCGGAAUUGCCUUUGAGACUGGGAGACUUGAAUCCAGGAGAGGUGAGUGGAAUUCCGAGUGUAGAGGUGAAAUUCGUAGAUAUUCGGAAGAACACCAGUGGCGAAGGCGACUCACUGGACACAUAUUGACGCUGAGGUGCGAAAGCGUGGGGAGCAAACAGG